Molecule: long non-coding RNA, 2278 nt
Filed under: Sus scrofa (pig)
Lineage: Eukaryota; Metazoa; Chordata; Mammalia; Artiodactyla; Suidae
Description: lncRNA (ENSSSCG00065009055.1)
Source: RNAcentral
GGGCCUGUGGAGUCUAAGGACUCCAAUGAAAGCAGCCUGGCUGAGCUGUGUCCUGAGGACGGAGUUGCAGCCCGCAGGGGAGAGGAGUCCGCCAAGGUGAGGACCUGGAGGCACAGAGCACGACCCAACCUGCUGGCGAUCACACGGCUCGUGGGUGGAGGAGGGGGUGCAGCGCCUGGGCGGCCUGGCUUGGGGGGCCCACGCUCUGCUGCGACACAGUGGAACCACCCGCAGCCGUGUGCAGAUUCCAUGGACGGGUGCAUGUAAACCCUGCAGCCCAGCACCCGAGCCCUCCAAAACAUCAUCACCAAGAGACCUGGCUUCGCACCUGGCUCUUUGCUCUUCAAGAAGAGCUGCCUCUCUUUCUCUGGUCCUAGGCCAAAACAUUCCAGAGAAGGCACAGUCCAGGGCACAGCUCUGGACAGGCAGCCCACCCCUCGCUGGCUGGAGUGAAAGGAGGAGCAGAUCCCAGGAAGACAGACUGAGCAAACAUACCAGAUGCCAUAGACAUCUCUCAUGGCACCAAGCAAGAGGCCAGAUUCUAGAAUAUAUCUUCUGGCGGUAAACUCUAGCUGCGAGUGUGAUGGGAGCGUAUUUGCUGUAGAAGCUGGACACAGCGGCCGGGUCUUAGCUUUCCCAGAACGGAUCGCCAGCCCGACAAUGGUGCUAACAGGGAUGUGCAGUGGAAAUGACAGGACUUUGGAGCUAGAAAGCCUCAGACUCGAAUCCAGGUUGUAAAAUAAGGACGAUAAUGACUAAGAACUGACGGACUAAGGGCUGCAAUGCAGCAAGUGGUGCACCAUCCAGAUCACCCUUUGUGACUAAGUCAUUUGUUCCCCCAGCUGCUGAGGGUCCUGGGGCUGAUCCCUCACCACCGAGACCCUUCCUAUGGUUUAUUCAAUCAGAAUAAUUUCAAAAUAACUGAAGUCCUUUACUAAUUCUAUUAGGAAUAAGACUUUGGGUUGCAAGUUGCAAAAAACCCUGUUGAGAUUGUUUAGGGGAAGGAAGAGUUUAUCUGUGAAUCCAUAUGGUUGGUGGGGAAGGUUCAUGAAACUGUGAUGUCACGGGGGGGCCGUUCAUGCGUAUGGGAACCAGGGACGCGGUGAGGUCAUCAGGACCUAGACCCUCUCCUCCUCCUUCCUUUAUGCUGACUCCAUUCUCAGAUAGUCUUUAACCACGUGGCAGUGAGAUGGCUGCCAUCUGCAUUAUCUACACUAAGGUUUCAGUCCCACAGCCUAGCAGGUGUGUUGUAUAGGGGUUGAGAGCAUGGACUCGCCCCCUAGAUUGCCCAGGUUCAUUUCUUACCAGCCGUCUGACUAGGGGAAUUAGUUACCCUGUUUGUACCAUAGCCUCCUUAUCAGUCCAGUGGUUGAUGAUAGCCCACCCUUUUCCAUAGGAUGACACGUAUGAAAUGUGUUAAUACUUGUCAAGUGUCUAGAACAGUGAAAAGCACAUUGUAAACACUACAUAAGAGUUUGUUAAAAUUUUAAAAAUACAUGUCUGAUUAACUUGACCUAGGUCACGGUUCCCACCUCUGAAGUUGUAACUGUGGGCCAGAAGGAAAUGAUGUUCAGGUUCCCCGUCCCAGAAGUGAGGGUGGAGUUGAUUCCACCGAAAUAUAGGGUCUGAGGUGCGAGCUUCCCCACAAGUGUUCAGAUAUCUGUUACCAGAUGAAGGGGGAUAAGUGCUGGACAGAAAAAUAACAAAUGUUGGAGUUCCCAUUGUGGCGCAGUGGUUAACGAAUCCGACUAAGAACCAUGAGGUUGCGGGUUCGGUCCCUGCCCUUGCUCAGUGGGUUAACGAUCCAGCGUUGCUGUGAGCUGUGGUGUAGGUUGCAGACGAGGCUCGGAUCCCACGUUGCUGUGGCUCUAGCGUAGGCCGGUGGCUACAGCUCCCAUUCGACCCCUAGCCUGGGAACCUCCAUAUGCCGUGGGAGCGGCCCAAGAAAUAGCAAAAAGACAAAAAACAAAACAAAACAAAACAAAUGUCCCCUCUAUUUGUAUUUCUUGAAAUCAUAGGCAUAGGACACACAGUUGCUUAGUAAUAGUUUUUAAAAUCUUUGUUUAAAUUAAGAAACCUUUAUAAUGAAGCCAUCUUCUAGAUACCAGAUAUUGUCCAAGUGAAAAAAAAAUUAGCAUCACAUCAAAUGAGAUAAAUUUUAUGUUUCCUAAUUUAACACAAUGAGAAGAUAUUCUUUAUUAUCUUCUAAAAGUUUUUUAGGACUCUGUAAUUUGUUUUUGUGUGUGAUAUGUCUCCAAAUUAAUUUUUUUUCCAAUGC